ACUGUGGAGUGUACAAGAACCUGCGAGUAGCGCAUUGCUUGCAAUCGUCAAAGCAUACACGUUGAAGCAGUAA
Molecule: non-coding RNA, 73 nt
Submitted as: unclassified sequences
Source: Rfam